CCUACGGGUGGCUGCAGUCGAGAAUCAUUCACAAUGGGGGAAACCCUGAUGGUGCGACGCCGCGUGGGGGAAUGAAGGUCUUCGGAUUGUAAACCCCUGUCAUGUGGGAGCAAAUUAAAAAGAUAGUACCACAAGAGGAAGAGACGGCUAACUCUGUGCCAGCAGCCGCGGUAAUACAGAGGUCUCAAGCGUUGUUCGGCAUCACUGGGCGUAAAGCGUGCGUAGGCUGUUUCGUAAGUCGUGUGUGAAAGGCGCGGGCUCAACCCGCGGACGGCACAUGAUACUGCGAGACUAGAGUAAGGGAGGGGGAACCGGAAUUCUCGUUGUAGCAGUGAAAUGCGUAGAUAUCGAGAGGAACACUCGUGGCGAAGGCGGGUUCCUGGACAUUAACUGACGCUGAGGCACGAAGGCCAGGGGAGCGAAAGGGAUUAGAUACCCGUGUAGUC
This 446-nucleotide ribosomal RNA is filed under the name uncultured bacterium. RNAcentral's name for it is "partial 16S ribosomal RNA". It matches the Rfam family "Bacterial small subunit ribosomal RNA", at positions 338 to 795 of the family's 1533-position model. The record is from RNAcentral.